Molecule: long non-coding RNA, 1688 nt
Organism: Xenia sp. Carnegie-2017
Lineage: Eukaryota; Metazoa; Cnidaria; Anthozoa; Malacalcyonacea; Xeniidae
Exons: 4
Source: RefSeq, a predicted model, not a curated record
GGACUAUCGACUAUGGCCAUAUAUAGAGUACUUGUUCCAAAUUAGGUCAUCAUUACCAGUCUCUCACAUUUUAUCACGUUUCUAAAAUGGCGGAAGUUGCGGAGGAGAGAUUGUUUAGUAUCGUGAGGAAAAACAAGACCGAGAGCAGAGCGUCAAUGAGGCUGGAGGUUACACUGUCAAGUUUGCUGGCCACGAAGCUGCAAUAUCCAGAGCAGACUGUACCGUGCCACAAGUGGAUUCCUACAAAAGAACUGUUGGAUGGUUCCAAAAAGGCAGCUACUGCAUAUAAUGCUGAGCAUUGAAGCUGUCAAAACAAAGUUUAUUUCUGUGUUAAGGUCCACGCAUGUUUUAAGUAAAUUAUAAGCAGGAAAAAAGACUUUCUCUGAAUCAGAACCUGUGUUUACUUGGUUUUGUCUGCCGGUAGAUCAAUCUCCAGAUUUUUACUGAAAUCUCCCGAUUUUUUUGCAUCAGUCUCCAGAUUUUAUGUGUUUUGAGGUUGAGAGGUCUGGAACAUGGGUCACAAAGCUCUUGGAAUGAAGAAAAACCGUUAUGAAAGAAUUAGAUUAUAAGAAAAAUUAAAUAUGGAAUGACUUUAACAUUUGGCCACUACAACUGACGCAACAAAGAAGAAUCUUCUGUUGACUUGUAGCUAACAGUAGAUUCCAUACAUGGGUAAUUGCUGCUGUCCAAAACCUGACACCUCCGUUGGCGAGGAACCGUUCUUGAAAGAGGGGAAUUGUGAAUUGCAGUGGAAAUGCGUUGAUGAAUCAACUAAACAUAAACAAUUGUUUUUAAAAAUGAUUAAAUAUGGACAAGAUCCCAAAGUCAUGGUUGAACAUACAAGUGAUGUGCGUGUAAUUUUCUCCGGAGAAUUUUCAUCGAGAAACGAAGUGAUGGAACUCGUGUUUAUCUUGGACUGGAAAAAGAUGGUUACGGCAAAGCUGUGAAACGAAUACUUCGUGAUAUCUGCAUUGGGCUUACACAACAAGAAAAGAAAAUUUUCAAAGACAUCAUCGAAAAAAAAUCGAAUGAUGUUGUGAAUUAUUUUUACUUAGAUAAAGACAUUACAUCAGAAUAUGUUUAUUUAAUACUUGACCUGUGUGAAGAAUCGCUGGAGGAUUUUGUGCAAUCGGAAUCAAAUAGUUUGGCUUAUCGUCAAAAAUCGCUUCCCAAAGUUCUCAGACAAAUUUUAAAAGGUUUAGCUCAUCUUCACAGCGACCCAUAUCCUAUUCUCAUCUGGAUUUAAAGCCUUCUAAUGUUUUCCGAGACGCACAGGGCAAAUUUUUAAUAGCUGACUUUGGUAUGAGUCCAAUUUUUAAAGAAUGAAUCUAACACAUUAAAAAUAUCCAGAACUGAUCCACUGAAGACAAGAGCCAACGAGGAGAAAGUAAAUGUAGAGAAACAUGAAGAAUUCCAAGAAAACAAAAUGGAAAUAGCAAAAACCCAGCAGCAACAACCAGAAGAUUUACCACUGUGACCAGAAAGUAAGCAGCACUUAAAGCCAAAUGAACUAAUUGAAGGUAUUUUGUCUGAAAAUAGUUUAACAGACCUUCAUCUUUACCUGAUGACCUCUUUACUGCAAUAUAAUAGGGUAGCUGUCAGUCUAAAAGACAUAUAGAAGUAUAUCAAUGACCAUUUGUUAAUUUGUUUUGGGGAAAAUGAAAAAUAAACGUUUCAUUUGCCACAGA